RNAcentral lists this ribosomal RNA (705 nucleotides) under uncultured Antarctic soil bacterium. Its description in RNAcentral is "bacterial SSU rRNA". It matches the Rfam family "Bacterial small subunit ribosomal RNA", at positions 333 to 1037 of the family's 1533-position model. The record is from RNAcentral.
CAUCCGAUUUUUCGGCCUGCUCCAUUGGAAUUCACUAGUGAUUUUCUGCAGUCUAGAAGGAGGUGUUCCAGCCAUGCCGCGUGCAGGAAGACUGCCCUAUGGGUUGUAAACUGCUUUUACAGAGGAAGAACCGCACCCACGUGUGGGUGUUUGACGGUACUCUGCGAAUAAGGAUUUUCUAACUCCGUGCCAGCAGCCGCGGUAAUACGGAGGAUCCAAGCGUUAUCCGGAAUCAUUGGGUUUAAAGGGUCCGUAGGCGGGACAAUAAGUCAGUGGUGAAAGUCUGCAGCUCAACUGUAGAACUGCCAUUGAAACUGUAGUCCUUGAGUCAUUAUGAAGUGGUUAGAAUGAGUAGUGUAGCGGUGAAAUGCAUAGAUAUUACUCAGAAUACCGAUUGCGAAGGCAGGUCACUAAUAAUGUACUGACGCUGAUGGACGAAAGCGUAGGUAGCGAACAGGAUUAGAUACCCUGGUAGUCUACGCCGUAAACGAUGGUUACUAGCUGUCCGGCCCAAUUGAGGGCUGGGUGGUUAAGCGAAAGUGAUAAAGUAACCCCCUGGGGAGUCGUUCGCAAGAAUGAAACUCAAAGGAAUUGACGGGGGCCCCACAAGCGGUGGAGCUUGUGGUUAAUUCAUGAUCCGCGAGGAACCUUACCAGGCUUAAAUGUAGUUUGCAGGGGUGGAACACUUUUCUUCGGCAAAUACAA